This is a transfer RNA of Stereum hirsutum FP-91666 SS1, 94 nucleotides long. It matches the Rfam family "tRNA". Rfam says of the family: Transfer RNA (tRNA) molecules are approximately 80 nucleotides in length. Their secondary structure includes four short double-helical elements and three loops (D, anti-codon, and T loops). Further hydrogen bonds mediate the characteristic L-shaped molecular structure. tRNAs have two regions of fundamental functional importance: the anti-codon, which is responsible for specific mRNA codon recognition, and the 3' end, to which the tRNAs corresponding amino acid is attached (by aminoacyl-tRNA synthetases). tRNAs cope with the degeneracy of the genetic code in two manners: having more than one tRNA (with a specific anti-codon) for a particular amino acid; and 'wobble' base-pairing, i.e. permitting non-standard base-pairing at the 3rd anti-codon position. NCBI's taxonomy places the organism in Eukaryota, Fungi, Basidiomycota, Agaricomycetes, Russulales, Stereaceae. The record is from Rfam.
GCCCGCCUAGCUCAAUCGGAUAGAGCGUCAGACUUUUACGAUCGUCUCGACCGUUGACAUCUGAAGGCUGCGAGUUCGACCCUCGCGGUGGGCU